RNAcentral lists this ribosomal RNA (479 nucleotides) under uncultured bacterium. RNAcentral's name for it is "partial 16S ribosomal RNA". It matches the Rfam family "Bacterial small subunit ribosomal RNA", at positions 28 to 507 of the family's 1533-position model. The record is from RNAcentral.
GAUGAACGCUGGCGGCGUGCUUAACACAUGCAAGUCGAACGAGAAGUUUUGAAAAGAUUCUUCGGAUGAAAUUUAAAAUGGAAAGCGGCGGACGGGUGAGUAACGCGUAGGCAACCUGCCCCAUACAAAGGGAUAGCAUUUGGAAACGAAUAUUAAUACCUUAUGAAACUUAACUAGUGCAUGCUAGGUAGGUCAAAGAUUUAUCGGUAUGGGAUGGGCCUGCGUCUGAUUAGCUAGUUGGUGAGGUAACGGCUCACCAAGGCGACGAUCAGUAGCCGACCUGAGAGGGUGAACGGCCACAUUGGAACUGAGACACGGUCCAAACUCCUACGGGAGGCAGCAGUGGGGAAUAUUGCACAAUGGGGGAAACCCUGAUGCAGCAACGCCGCGUGAACGAUGAAGGCCUUUGGGUCGUAAAGUUCUGUUCUAGGUGAUGAAAACUGACAGUAACCUAGGAGAAAGCCCCGGCUAACUCCGUG